GGAAUCCUUGAGGGAGUUGCUUGUCGAGGGUGUCUGAAUCUCCAGUGCAAUGAACGACCAGCUCAGAACUGGAGCGGACAAGGGGAAUCCGAC
RNAcentral lists this ribosomal RNA (93 nucleotides) under Schmidingerella taraikaensis. RNAcentral describes it as "partial Eukaryotic large subunit ribosomal RNA". The record is from RNAcentral. Lineage: Eukaryota; Ciliophora; Spirotrichea; Tintinnida; Rhabdonellidae.